AGUGAACGCUGGCGGUAGGCCUAACACAUGCCAGUCGAACGGCAGCACAGUAAGAUCUUGCUCUUACGGGUGGCGAGUGGCGGACGGGUGAGGAAUACAUCGGAAUCUACUUUUUCGUGGGGGAUAACGUAGGGAAACUUACGCUAAUACCGCAUACGACCUACGGGUGAAAGCAGGGGAUCUUCGGACCUUGCGCGAUUGAAUGAGCCGAUGUCGGAUUAGCUAGUUGGCGGGGUAAAGGCCCACCAAGGCGACGAUCCGUAGCUGGUCUGAGAGGAUGAUCAGCCACACUGGAACUGAGACACGGUCCAGACUCCUACGGGAGGCAGCAGUGGGGAAUAUUGGACAAUGGGCGAAAGCCUGAUCCAGCCAUACCGCGUGGGUGAAGAAGGCCUUCGGGUUGUAAAGCCCUUUUGUUGGGAAAGAAAAGCAGCAGGUUAAUACCCCGCUGUUCUGACGGUACCCAAAGAAUAAGCAACGGCUAACUUCGUG
RNAcentral lists this ribosomal RNA (492 nucleotides) under uncultured bacterium. RNAcentral's name for it is "partial 16S ribosomal RNA". It matches the Rfam family "Bacterial small subunit ribosomal RNA", at positions 29 to 507 of the family's 1533-position model. The record is from RNAcentral.